RNAcentral lists this unclassified non-coding RNA (348 nucleotides) under soil metagenome. Its description in RNAcentral is "partial contains 5.8S ribosomal RNA, internal transcribed spacer 2, and large subunit ribosomal RNA". The stretch from base 1 to 120 matches the Rfam family "5.8S ribosomal RNA", at positions 35 to 154 of the family's 154-position model. The record is from RNAcentral.
GAUGAAGAACGUAGCGAAAUGCGAUAAGUAAUGUGAAUUGCAGAAUUCAGUGAAUCAUCGAAUCUUUGAACGCACAUUGCGCCCGCCAGUAUUCUGGCGGGCAUGCCUGUCUGAGCGUCAUUUCAACCCUCAUGCCCCUAGGGCGUGGUGUUGGGGAUCGGCCAAAGCCCGCGAGGGACGGCCGGCCCCUAAAUCUAGUGGCGGACCCGUCGGGGCCUCCUCUGCGAAGUAGUGAUAUUCCGCAUCGGAGAGCGAUGAGCCCCUGCCGUUAAACCCCCAACUUUCCAAGGUUGACCUCGGAUCAGGUAGGAAUACCCGCUGAACUUAAGCAUAUCAAUAAGCGGAGGA